GGGAGGGCCGCAGGGAGUGCGCAUGCGGCCGAGUGCGGGACUGGGGCUCCUGGCUGUGGGUGUGGUACCGAGGCUUCAGCGGGUGCCGCCCGCCUAGAGGGAGUGGAGCGAGAGCCUACGACUAGAUUUGCAUCUUUACGUCCUGCGCGGAGGCUGCUACACACAUGCAGAAGUCAUGCUGGUGGCCUGGACAGUGAAGGGAGAGAAGUGGAUUUGGGAGACAUUUAGGAGCAGAAGAAUCCCAGACUUCUUAGAGAACCCAGUGACUUUUUGCACCUUAAAUCUGUGAAAUCCUCAUGUUUUCUUCUGCCGUAUCCAUAGUUCAAACAAAGAUGAGGCAAAGCUAGAUGCAUUCCUGAAGGAACCCAAGAAAUUCCUCUCUUUAUUUCUCUGGAAUGAAAUGAAUUCUCUAGACCACCAGUUCUAACCUUCAAAAACCAAACCUGUUUGUGAGAUCUCCUUCAAAUACUACUGUAGACCCCAGUGUUUAUUCAUUAAAUUUUUAAAAUAUUUGUUUUAUUUGGAAUCCAUGUAUUUGUAAUUUUAGUGUUUGUAUUAAUAUAAGGGAGAAAUGUUUAAAUC
Homo sapiens (human) is the source of this 582-nucleotide long non-coding RNA. Ensembl annotates it as ribosomal protein L23a pseudogene 7. Its record names the gene RPL23AP7. Lineage: Eukaryota; Metazoa; Chordata; Mammalia; Primates; Hominidae. The record is from Ensembl.